RNAcentral lists this ribosomal RNA (502 nucleotides) under uncultured bacterium. Its description in RNAcentral is "bacterial SSU rRNA". It matches the Rfam family "Bacterial small subunit ribosomal RNA", at positions 19 to 518 of the family's 1533-position model. The record is from RNAcentral.
CUGGCUCAGGAUGAACGCUAGCUACAGGCUUAACACAUGCAAGUCGAGGGGUAGCAGGGUAGCAAUACCGCUGACGACCGGCGCACGGGUGAGUAACACGUAUCCAACCUUCCAUAACUCAGGGAUAGCCUUUCGAAAGAAAGAUUAAUACCUGAUAGUACUUUUUCAAGGCAUCUUGAAAAAGUUAAAGAUUUAUUGGUUAUGGAUGGGAUGCGUUCCAUUAGAUAGUUGGUGAGGUAACGGCUCACCAAGUCUUCGAUGGAUAGGGGUUCUGAGAGGAAGGUCCCCCACAUUGGUACUGAGACACGGACCAAACUCCUACGGGAGGCAGCAGUGAGGAAUAUUGGUCAAUGGGCGAGAGCCUGAACCAGCCAAGUAGCGUGAAAAGGAUGAAGGUCCUAUGGAUUGUAAACUUCUUUUAUAGUAGAAUAAAGUGAGCCACGUGUGGUUUUUUGUAUGUAUACUAUGAAUAAGGAUCGGCUAACUCCGUGCCAGCCGCCGC